This 539-nucleotide unclassified non-coding RNA is filed under the name Aspergillus sp. 1 VH-2016. Its description in RNAcentral is "sequence contains ITS1, 5.8S rRNA gene, ITS2". The stretch from base 171 to 324 matches the Rfam family "5.8S ribosomal RNA". The record is from RNAcentral. Lineage: Eukaryota; Fungi; Ascomycota; Eurotiomycetes; Eurotiales; Aspergillaceae.
CGGAAGGAUCAUUACCGAGUGCAGGUCUGCCCCCGGGCAGGCCUAACCUCCCACCCGUGAAUACCUGACCAACGUUGCUUCGGCGGUGCGCCCCCCCGGGGGUAGCCGCCGGAGACCACAUUGAACCUCUUGUCUUUAGUGUUGUCUGAGCUUGAUAGCAAACCUAUUAAAACUUUCAACAAUGGAUCUCUUGGUUCCGGCAUCGAUGAAGAACGCAGCGAACUGCGAUAAGUAAUGUGAAUUGCAGAAUUCAGUGAAUCAUCGAGUCUUUGAACGCACAUUGCGCCCCCUGGCAUUCCGGGGGGCAUGCCUGUCCGAGCGUCAUUGCUGCCCUUCAAGCCCGGCUUGUGUGUUGGGUCGUCGUCCCCCCCGGGGGACGGGCCCGAAAGGCAGCGGCGGCACCGCGUCCGGUCCUCGAGCGUAUGGGGCUUUGUCACCCGCUCGAUUAGGGCCGGCCGGGCGCCAGCCGGCGUCUCCAACCUUUUAUUUUACCAGGUUGACCUCGGAUCAGGUAGGGAUACCCGCUGAACUUAAGCAUA